AACGCACAUUGCGCCCGCCAGCACUCUGGCGGGCAUGCCUGUUCGAGCGUCAUUUCAGCCCUCGGGCCCCCGUCCCCGACCCCCGCGCGCCGGACGCGGCGCGGGGGGGGCGGGGUGGGCCCGGUGUUGGGGCGAUCCGCGGGUGCCGCCCGGCGCCCGCGGGCCCCGAAGGACAGUGGCGGGCACGCCCGGCCGCCGAGCGCAGCAAGGACCUAGAGACCCGUCGCUCAGGAGGCCGCGGCGCGCGCCGCCCGCACACGCGCAAAAGGUUGACCUCGGAUCAGGUAGGAGUACCCGCUGAACUUAA
This 307-nucleotide unclassified non-coding RNA is filed under the name uncultured fungus. Its description in RNAcentral is "partial contains 5.8S ribosomal RNA, internal transcribed spacer 2, and large subunit ribosomal RNA". Lineage: Eukaryota; Fungi. The record is from RNAcentral.